RNAcentral lists this ribosomal RNA (377 nucleotides) under uncultured bacterium. RNAcentral describes it as "bacterial SSU rRNA". It matches the Rfam family "Bacterial small subunit ribosomal RNA", at positions 521 to 896 of the family's 1533-position model. The record is from RNAcentral.
UAAUACGUAGGGGGCAAGCGUUGUCCGGAAUCAUUGGGCGUAAAGCGCGUGUAGGCGGCUCAGUAAGUCCGCUCUGAAAGCCCGGGGCUCAACCCCGGGAGGCGGGUGGAUACUGCUGAGCUCGAGUCCGGAAGAGGCGAGUGGAAUUCCUGGUGUAGCGGUGAAAUGCGCAGAUAUCAGGAGGAACACCAAUUGCGAAGGCAGCUCGCUGGGACGGUACUGACGCUGAGACGCGAAAGCGUGGGGAGCAAACAGGAUUAGAUACCCUGGUAGUCCACGCCGUAAACGAUGGGCACUAGGUGUGGGAGGUGUCGACUCCUUCCGUGCCGAAGCUAACGCAUUAAGUGCCCCGCCUGGGGAGUACGGCCGCAAGGCUA